UUUUGUUAAUUACCCUGUGUCUCUUCGUCUUCAUUAUCCGAGGGAAGAACUGAUCUUCCUUCUCAAUCCCUUUUCCGCAACCCACACCUGCCAUUUCUGAAGCCAUUAUUAAUGAAAUCAUCGAAAAAGCCGACAGUUUGGAAGAUUGCUUCUGAAGAAGUGUUCAGAAACCUCGCUUAUUGCAAAACCGUCAUCGUAAACCAUUCUGACAAAGACGACGGUUUGAAAAGGGUGGGUGGACAGUGCAAAGUAGUAAUCAUUGCAACGACUACUGUCAAGAAUUUGACAGUGCACAAAGUUUAUGUCAGAUAAAGGACAUUGUGGCAUUUUAUCAAUAAAAUCCCUCUACUUGAGAACCUUGUGAUAGAUGGUUGUUCCCGUGAGGUUUUUUGUGGAGAUGGUGUUUCCGGUAAUUAUUUGCAACGCCUUUUUAUUUCUUACAAGAAUCUGGCAAACCUUGUGCUGAAGUUAGAUGAAUGAAUGUGAUAACGUGGAGGAGAUACCGGCACCGAAAUGGCACAAAAAUUGACCAAAUUUUCCAAAAGGGGUCGUGAAAUUUUUUAUAGACCAAAAGGGGUUAAUCGUGCGCCCCUGCACGAUUUACCCUAAUUGAAUUAACGUCCCCGUCUGUUAACUUUUAAAAAAAUAUAUGUAUAAGGUAAAUCGUGUACAUGGACACGAUUUGAUAUAAUUCUUUUUGCAAAUCGUGUUCCUGUACACGAUUUACAAAAUUUAAUUUUAGCAAAUCGUGUACUUGUACACGAUUUCCUUUAUAUAUAUAUAUAUAUAUAUAUAUGCUAUGUUAACUUA
Long non-coding RNA from Lycium barbarum (goji berry), 810 nucleotides. RefSeq lists it as uncharacterized. The transcript has 2 exons. Lineage: Eukaryota; Viridiplantae; Streptophyta; Magnoliopsida; Solanales; Solanaceae. The record is from RefSeq and is a predicted model, not a curated record.